This 253-nucleotide ribosomal RNA is filed under the name uncultured bacterium. Its description in RNAcentral is "partial 16S ribosomal RNA". It matches the Rfam family "Bacterial small subunit ribosomal RNA", at positions 524 to 776 of the family's 1533-position model. The record is from RNAcentral.
GACAGAGGGUGCAAACGUUGCUCGGAAUUACUGGGCGUAAAGGGCGUGUAGGCGGGCAGGUAAGUCGGGCGUGAAAUCCCUGGGCUCAACCCAGGAACUGCACUCGAAACUACUUGCCCUGAGUGCCGGAGAGGAAAGCGGAAUUCCUGGUGUAGAGGUGAAAUUCGUAGAUAUCAGGAGGAACACCAGUGGCGAAGGCGGCUUUCUGGACGGUAACUGACGCUGAGACGCGAAAGCGUGGGGAGCAAACAGG